AUGCGCCUUUUUGAGGCCUUCCAUAAUAACACUUUGGAUGUGGCCCGACUUAACUAUGGUGUCAUUACCCUAAUACCUAAGAUGAAUGGAGCCAAGAAAAUUCAGCAGUAUAGGCCGAUUUGCCUCCUCCGUUGUCCAUACAAACUUAUCACUAAAGUUUUGGACAAUAGAGUGGCUAUAUUUGCUGACGAGCUUAUCAGUAAGCACCAAAAUGCCUUUAUCAAACACAUAAAUAUAAUGGAUGGCAUCCUUACCUUGCAUGAGGUUCUUCAUCACACGCACCGCAAAAAGAAAGUAGGGGUGGUGUUGAAGUUAGACUUCGAAAAGGCCUACGACAAAAUCAACUGGGACUUCCUGCUGGAUUGUCACAAGAUCGAGGGUUUUGGUCCUACAUGGUGCGGUUGGAUUCAUUUUUUUUUUGAAAAAUGGGACUGUUAG
RNAcentral lists this ribosomal RNA (438 nucleotides) under Triticum aestivum (bread wheat). Its description in RNAcentral is "partial small subunit ribosomal RNA". Lineage: Eukaryota; Viridiplantae; Streptophyta; Magnoliopsida; Poales; Poaceae. The record is from RNAcentral.